AUACAAAUUAUUUAGUAAUCUUGUUUAAUUGCAGAUUCUGACACAGUGGAUCUGGGAUGGGGUCUGAGAGUCUGCAUUCAUAACAAGCCCCCAUAGCAGUUCUAGU
RNAcentral lists this microRNA precursor (106 nucleotides) under Marmota monax (woodchuck). The record is from RNAcentral. Lineage: Eukaryota; Metazoa; Chordata; Mammalia; Rodentia; Sciuridae.